This 26-nucleotide non-coding RNA is filed under the name Homo sapiens (human). Lineage: Eukaryota; Metazoa; Chordata; Mammalia; Primates; Hominidae. The record is from RNAcentral.
GCACUUUGGGAGGCCGAGUCCUACGG